This 45-nucleotide non-coding RNA is filed under the name Trichobilharzia regenti. Lineage: Eukaryota; Metazoa; Platyhelminthes; Trematoda; Strigeidida; Schistosomatidae. The record is from RNAcentral.
AUCCAGGAGACGAGUCCCGAAUAGGACGAAAUGCGCAUUCUGGAU